AUGAUAGAUGGAAAAACAGAUAUGUUACACAUAAACAAAUGACAAUCACUGAAUUAUAGGCUUCUGAUUUGGAACAGGUGUAAAGCAAAAUUAUAUCUGGGUGAAAUUUGAUCCAGAGGAAAAAAUGUCACAGUAGUUGUUGUUAUUUUUUUAUCCGGAGGAGAAUAUUUUCCUGGGAUAUUUUUUCCUUUGCCGUGAAAUUCUAUCUGAGUAGUUAACCUAUUGAAUAGUCCUUAGCAAAAACUUAUCCUUUACAAACACUAUGAAAUAAUAAAAGUGUAUUUGAAUUAAACCUCUAUUGUAAACUAAAAUGUAUUAUAAUGGGAUUCAUUUCACAAAUUAUCAUUGAAAAAAAAUCCUGAAAUAUUCAAGUAAAUAUCAUUCUUUUAAAAAGAAAAUUAUCAUUAAACCAUAGAUGGGUAUUACAUCUAUGAUUAAACAUAAGAAAGAAAACCAGAAAUAAUUUCAAAGAUCGUAAUUGUGAAAUAAUAUCAUGAUUAAAUAAGGUGUAGGGCAAGAACAUUAAAGAUAAAGGGAAACUACAAACAGAAGAAGUUAUCAACAAAAAUAGAUUUACAGAGGUCAACAAGUCUAAAUGGUCAGACAUCUUGAUUUUCAUGGUCAUCAUUCAACAGAUCAAUACUGAACAGAAAACUUAAAGUUGAUAUUUUUCUCCAUAGUGCGACUUUUUUUAUGAAUUUGAAAUGGAACAUGUUUUUUCCUUCAUUUAUAAGAAAGAGGAAAUUUCAACAUAACGACUAAACAAAAAGAUUGAGUCAUAUCAUCACAAUCAUAGUCUAGAUGCACAAGAACUUGAUCACGGAAAUGCAACAAUGUACGGAAUUAUCAAUUGGAAGAAGGACUGAAUGAAAAAAAUUUAAGUUUGUUGUUGUCCAAAUAAACUUGCUUUUCAUUUGAAUUGCUCCAUCCAAUAAAGAUGUAUAGAGAAAGAUCUUUGAAGAACAGAUUGAAAAAAUGUUUUGUCUAAGAAUUGCAGGAAUAUUCUGGUGGAUGAAAUAGUUUUACUGUUUAUUGACUUAAUUCUUAUGUAGCAUGUAUAGUGGACUGAAUAAUUGUACAUAGCAAGCAAUGAAAAAAGAAAACUACAACUUUAACAGAAAAAGUGUUUGUAUUAUAAAUUUGCAAAUAUACCCAUAAUAUUAUGUAUAAGGUAUAUAAUUCAAAUUGUUUGCAUAUUCAUGUAUUGCAAUGAAACUAUACAUGCUAUAACAAAGAAAAGUUC
Mytilus trossulus (common blue mussel) is the source of this 1243-nucleotide long non-coding RNA. RefSeq lists it as uncharacterized. The transcript has 3 exons. The record is from RefSeq and is a predicted model, not a curated record. Lineage: Eukaryota; Metazoa; Mollusca; Bivalvia; Mytilida; Mytilidae.